This is an RNA transcript of Mastomys coucha (southern multimammate mouse), 761 nucleotides long. It is a transcript of the gene named 60S ribosomal protein L36 pseudogene, with no coding region annotated. The transcript is spliced from 3 exons. NCBI's taxonomy places the organism in Eukaryota, Metazoa, Chordata, Mammalia, Rodentia, Muridae. The record is from RefSeq and is a predicted model, not a curated record.
GAGGUGGAGUCUCUUAUGAUUGAUUAGCCACCUGUCCCUUCCACUCUGCAUGCACAUCUUACUGCAGGGCACUUUUCAAUGUCAAACUACCUCAUUCCCCUCCCAAAUGCCAGAUUUUCUUCUUUGUAGGCUUGUUGUGGAUGGGCCUGGUGCUGUUCUUGUGAACCAAUCUCCUAAUGAAUAAAGGAGCCAAUCAUGAGGGGAGUAGGUGGGACUUCCGGGUUGGACGGCAGAAGAGAGGAAGCAGGAGACUGGUUCUUUUUGGACCAGAGCCGGAGUCAGACGCCCGCUUGCUUUCGUCAUCCCAGCCUCCCUACACUCUUUCUGAUCUUUGGCCUUGCUCAAAACCACCUUCCUGCUGUCCCAGCUGCCAUCUAAGGAGCAGCAGCCAUGACUCUGCGCUACCCCAUGGCCGUGGGCCUGAACAAGGGCCACAAAGUGACGAAGAACGUCAGCAAGCCGAGACAUAGCCGGCGCCGUGGACUCCUCACCAAGCACACCAAGUUCAUGCGGGACAUGAUCCGGGAAGUGUGCGGCUUCGCACCCUACGAGCGCCGCGCCAUGGAGUUGCUCAAAGUGUCCAAGGACAAGCGCGCACUCAAGUUCAUCAAGAAGAGGGUGGGCACACACAUCCGUGCCAAGAGAAAGCGGGAGGAGCUGAGCCACGUGCUGGCAGCCAUGAGGAAGGCGGCGGCCAAGAAGGAUUGAUGAACCCUCCCCCAAUAAAAGAUCGUUCCUACCAAAAAACAAAAAAACCCCCA